This 777-nucleotide ribosomal RNA is filed under the name uncultured Neocallimastigales. Its description in RNAcentral is "partial large subunit ribosomal RNA". It matches the Rfam family "Eukaryotic large subunit ribosomal RNA", at positions 25 to 632 of the family's 3401-position model. Lineage: Eukaryota; Fungi; Neocallimastigomycota; Neocallimastigomycetes; Neocallimastigales. The record is from RNAcentral.
ACACUGACGUCGCGACGCAUAUCAAUAAGCGGAGGAAAAGAAACUAACAAGGAUUCCCCUAGUAACGGCGAGUGGAGCGGGAAGAGCUCAAAUUUGAAAUCUUAAAGGGUUUCCCUUUACGAAUUGUAGUUUAAAGAAGUGUUUUCUGCUGAAGUUUUGGUAAAAGUUCUUUGGAAUAGGACAUCAUAGAGGGUGAGAAUCCCGUAUUUGACCGUUACUUUCCAGCUGUGUGAUACACUUUCAAAGAGUCGGAUUGUUUGGGAAUGCAGUCCAAAAUGGGUGGUAAAUUUCAUCUAAAGCUAAAUAUUGGCGAGAGACCGAUAGCGAACAAGUACCGUGAGGGAAAGAUGAAAAGAACUUUGAAAAGAGAGUUAAACAGUACGUGAAAUUGUCAAAAGGGAAGCGUUUGACACCAGUGUUGUUUAGUUGAAAAUCAAUUCAAUAAUUUUUGAUUUUGAGUAGUAUUGACUUCAUCAGCUUGCUGCUUUCUUUUCGGAAAUUAUUGAAUGCACUUUUCAGUUAACAAGUCAACAUCAAUUUCUUUUGUUGUAAAAGGGUAAGAGGAAGGUGGCUUACGCUUCGGCGUAAGUGUUUAUAGCCUUUUACCUCUGCAAUCGGAGAGAUUGAGGACAGCAGCGUAGACUCCUUCGGGGGUUAGAUACACUUGUGCUAAGUUAUAGCUUUUCAUAGACAACUUGUUGACUAUGUUUAGUCUUGUAGCUUACUCGCUUAUGCUAUUUUACCUACGCUUAGGAUGUUGAUCUACAGAGCGAGAGU